RNAcentral lists this ribosomal RNA (253 nucleotides) under uncultured bacterium. Its description in RNAcentral is "partial 16S ribosomal RNA". It matches the Rfam family "Bacterial small subunit ribosomal RNA", at positions 524 to 776 of the family's 1533-position model. The record is from RNAcentral.
UACGGAGGGUGCAAGCGUUAAUCGGAAUUACUGGGCGUAAAGCGUGCGCAGGCGGUUUGUUAAGUCUGUUGUGAAAUCCCCGAGCUCAACUUGGGAAUUGCAAUGGAUACUGGCAAGCUGGAGUAUGGUAGAGGAAGGUGGAAUUCCCGGUGUAGCAGUGAAAUGCGUAGAGAUCCGGAAGAACACCGGUGGCGAAGGCGGUUAGCUGGGCAGUUGCUGACACUGAGGCGCGACAGCGUGGGGAGCAAACAGG